RNAcentral lists this ribosomal RNA (383 nucleotides) under uncultured eukaryote. RNAcentral's name for it is "partial 18S ribosomal RNA". It matches the Rfam family "Eukaryotic small subunit ribosomal RNA", at positions 592 to 976 of the family's 1831-position model. The record is from RNAcentral.
CAAUAGCGUAUAUUAAAGUUGUUGCAGUUAAAAAGCUCGUAGUUGGAUUUCUGGUGGGAGCGAUCGGUCUGGCGCUUAGCGCGAGUACUUGCAUCGUCUCCGGCCAUCCUUGGGGAGAGUCUGUCUGGCAUUAGGUUGUCGGGCAGAGGAUCCUCAUCGUUUACUGUGAAAAAAUUAGAGUGUUCAAAGCAGGCUUAUGCCGUUGAAUAUAUUAGCAUGGAAUAAUAAGAUAGGACUUUGGUACUAUUUUGUUGGUUUGCGCACCAAAGUGAUGAUUAAUAGGGACAGUUGGGGGUAUUCGUAUUCCGUUGUCAGAGGUGAAAUUCUUGGAUUUACGGAAGACGAACUACUGCGAAAGCAUUUACCAAGGAUGUUUUCAUUAA